GAUCAAGCGACUAAGUGCAUGUGGUGGAUGCCUUGGCGAUUACAGGCGAUGAAGGACGUAGUAGCCUGCGAUAAGCUACGGGGAGCUGGCAAACAAGCUUUGAUCCGUAGAUUUCCGAAUGGGGAAACCCACAGCUUCGGCUGUAUCGCAUACUGAAUACAUAGGUAUGCGAGGCGAACCGGGUGAACUGAAACAUCUCAGUAGCUCGAGGAAAAGAAAUCAACCGAGAUUCCGAAAGUAGCGGCGAGCGAAAUUGGAUCAGCCUUUACGAUUUAGCAUCAGUAAUAGGGGAACAGUCUGGAAAGUCUGGCCAUAGCAGGUGAUAGUCCUGUACCCGAAAUUUCUGUUGUGGAACUAGGCGUAAGUUAAGUAGGGCGGGACACGUGUAAUCCUGUCUGAAUAUGGGGGGACCAUCCUCCAAGGCUAAAUACUCGUAAUCGACCGAUAGUGAACCAGUACCGUGAGGGAAAGGCGAAAAGAACCCCGGAAGGGGAGUGAAAUAGAUCCUGAAACCGCAUGCAUACAAACAGUAGGAGCGGACUUGUUCCGUGACUGCGUACCUUUUGUAUAAUGGGUCAGCGACUUACAUUCAGUGGCAAGCUUAACCGAAUAGGGAAGGCGUAGCGAAAGCGAGUCCGAAUAGGGCGACUAGUCGCUGGGUGUAGACCCGAAACCAGACGAUCUAUCCAUGGCCAGGUUGAAGGCACGGUAACACGUGCUGGAGGACCGAACCCACUAAUGUUGAAAAAUUAGGGGAUGAGCUGUGGAUAGGGGUGAAAGGCUAAACAAGUCUGGAAAUAGCUGGUUCUCCCCGAAAACUAUUUAGGUAGUGCCUCAAGUAUUACUCCAGGGGGUAGAGCACUGUUAUGGCUAGGGGGUCAUGGCGACUUACCAAACCAUUGCAAACUCCGAAUACCUGGAAGUACAGCUUGGGAGACAGAGCACCGGGUGCUAACGUCCGGACUCAAGAGGGAAACAACCCAGACCGCCAGCUAAGGUCCCCAAAUAUUGCUAAGUGGGAAACGAAGUGGGAAGGCAUAGACAGUCAGGAAGUUGGCUUAGAAGCAGCCAUCCUUUAAAGAAAGCGUAAUAGCUCACUGAUCGAGUCGUCCUGCGCGGAAGAUGUAACGGGGCUAAGCAAUAUACCGAAGCUGCGGAUGCGUGGAUCNNNNNNNNNNNNNNNNNNNNNNNNNNNNNNNNNNNNNNNNNNNNNNNNNNNNNNNNNNNNNNNNNNNNNNNNNNNNNNNNNNNNNNNNNNNNNNNNAUAUCCAUGCGUGGUAGGGGAGCGUUCUGUAAGCCUGCGAAGGUGUCUUGUAAAGGAUGCUGGAGGUAUCAGAAGUGCGAAUGCUGACAUGAGUAGCGAUAAAGAGGGUGAAAGGCCCUCUCGCCGUAAGUCCAAGGUUUCCUACGCAACGUUCAUCGGCGUAGGGUGAGUCGGCCCCUAAGGCGAGGCAGAGAUGCGUAGCUGAUGGGAAGCAGGUUAAUAUUCCUGCACCAUUGUUUAAUGCGAUGGGGGGACGGAUCGCGGAAGGUCAUCAGGGUGUUGGAAGUCCCUGUUACUGCAUCAAAGAAGGCGCUUAGGCAAAUCCGGGCGCGUAAUUCAAGGGUGUGGAACGAGCGAACUUGUUCGCGAAGUGAUCGGAAGUGGUUCCAAGAAAAGCCUCUAAGCUUCAGUUAAACAAGACCGUACCGCAAACCGACACAGGUGGACGGGAUGAGUAUUCUAAGGCGCUUGAGAGAACUCAGGAGAAGGAACUCGGCAAAUUGAUACCGUAACUUCGGGAGAAGGUAUGCCCUUGUAGCGUGAUGCACCUGCGUGCAAAGCGUGAAAGGGUCGCAGAUAAUCGGUGGCUGCGACUGUUUAAUAAAAACACAGCACUCUGCAAACACGAAAGUGGACGUAUAGGGUGUGACGCCUGCCCGGUGCCGGAAGGUUAAGUGAUGGGGUGCAAGCUCUUGAUCGAAGCCCCGGUAAACGGCGGCCGUAACUAUAACGGUCCUAAGGUAGCGAAAUUCCUUGUCGGGUAAGUUCCGACCUGCACGAAUGGCGUAACGAUGGCCACACUGUCUCCUCCUGAGACUCAGCGAAGUUGAAAUGUUUGUGAUGAUGCAAUCUACCCGCGGCUAGACGGAAAGACCCCAUGAACCUUUACUGUAGCUUUGCAUUGGAUUGUGAAUCGGUCUGUGUAGGAUAGGUGGGAGGCGCUGAAGCGAGGUCGCUAGAUCUCGUGGAGCCAACCUUGAAAUACCACCCUGAUUUAUUUGCGGUUCUAACCUUGGUCCGUUAUCCGGAUCGGGGACAGUGCAUGGUGGGCAGUUUGACUGGGGCGGUCUCCUCCUAAAGGGUAACGGAGGAGUUCGAAGGUACGCUAGGUACGGUCGGAAAUCGUGCUGAUAGUGCAAUGGCAUAAGCGUGCUUAACUGUGAGACUGACAAGUCGAACAGGUGCGAAAGCAGGACAUAGUGAUCCGGUGGUUCUGAAUGGAAGGGCCAUCGCUCAACGGAUAAAAGGUACUCUGGGGAUAACAGGCUGAUACCGCCCAAGAGUUCAUAUCGACGGCGGUGUUUGGCACCUCGAUGUCGGCUCAUCUCAUCCUGGGGCUGUAGCCGGUCCCAAGGGUAUGGCUGUUCGCCAUUUAAAGAGGUACGUGAGCUGGGUUUAAAACGUCGUGAGACAGUUUGGUCCCUAUCUGCCGUGGGCGCUGGAAAUUUGAUGGAGCCUGUUCCUAGUACGAGAGGACCGGAAUGGACGUACCUCUGGUGUACCGGUUGUCAUGCCAAUGGCAUUGCCGGGUAGCUAUGUACGGAAGAGAUAACCGCUGAAGGCAUCUAAGCGGGAAACUCGUCUAAAGAUAAGAUUUCCCGGGGGCUUGACCCC
RNAcentral lists this ribosomal RNA (2878 nucleotides) under Pigmentiphaga litoralis. RNAcentral's name for it is "23S ribosomal RNA". It matches the Rfam family "Bacterial large subunit ribosomal RNA". The record is from RNAcentral. Lineage: Bacteria; Pseudomonadati; Pseudomonadota; Betaproteobacteria; Burkholderiales; Alcaligenaceae.